Molecule: ribosomal RNA, 496 nt
Filed under: uncultured bacterium
Lineage: Bacteria
Description: partial 16S ribosomal RNA
Rfam family: Bacterial small subunit ribosomal RNA
Source: RNAcentral
AUGAACGCUGGCGGCGUGCCUCAUACAUGCCAGUCGAGCGCACAGAUGAGGAGCUUGCUCCUCUGACGUUAGCGGCGGACGGGUGAGUAACACGUGGAUAACCUACCUAUAAGACUGGGAUAACUUCGGGAAACCGGAGCUAAUACCGGAUAAUAUAUUGAACCGCAUGGUUCAAUAGUGAAAGACGGUUUUGCUGUCACUUAUAGAUGGAUCCGCGCCGCAUUAGCUAGUUGGUAAGGUAACGGCUUACCAAGGCAACGAUGCGUAGCCGACCUGAGAGGGUGAUCGGCCACACUGGAACUGAGGCACGGUCCAGACUCCUACGGGAGGCAGCAGUAGGGAAUCUUCCGCAAUGGGCGAAAGCCUGACGGAGCAACGCCGCGUGAGUGAUGAAGGUCUUCGGAUCGUAAAACUCUGUUAUUAGGGAAGAACAAAUGUGUAAGUAACUAUGCACGUCUUGACGGUACCUAAUCAGAAAGCCACGGCUAACUACGUG